AGCCACGCAGUGAGCACAUAGCGAACUAUUCUUUCGCCUUUUACUAAAGAAUACCGUGUGCGCGCUGCAAUUAGUGGCAUACGCCAAUUUUUGAAGGGAUUUUCUUAAUUGAAGAUC
This is a small nuclear RNA of Lycium ferocissimum, 117 nucleotides long. RefSeq annotates it as U5 spliceosomal RNA. The record is from RefSeq and is a predicted model, not a curated record. NCBI's taxonomy places the organism in Eukaryota, Viridiplantae, Streptophyta, Magnoliopsida, Solanales, Solanaceae. The transcript has a single exon.